CAUCACUCAAAACGAGGUCCUCCAUCACAAUGCCACACUGGGUCUGUACAACACCGGCCAUAUGCUCACUUUUCUGGAGGCAAUUUACACAAUGUUUGUCCCUGAUCCAGAUCAGGAGCCUGAUAGAUUUGUGGUUUUAUGGGACAAUGUUAGUUUUCACCGGGCUGUUCUGGUCCAAAACUGGUUUGCCACCCAUCCACAAUGUGUAGUUUUGUACCUACCCCCAUAUUCACCUUUUCUAAAUCCCAUAGAGGAAUUCUUCUCAGCCUGGUGCUGGAAAGUGUAUGAUCGCCAACCCUAUGCCCGCAUGCCGCUUCUCCAGGCAAUGGAGGACGCAUGUGGGGACAUAGAGGUUGCCUCUGUCCAAGGCUGGAUACCCCAUGCUAGGAGAUACUUCCCUCCAUGUGGGGACAUAGAGGUUGUCUCUGUCCAAGGUUGGAUACACCAUGCUAGGAGAUACUUCCCUCCAUGUGGGGACAUAGAGGUUGUCUCUGUCCAAGGAUGGAUACACCAUGCUAGGAGAUACUUCCCUCCAUGUUUGGCAAGACAAAACGUAUCUUGUGAUGUGGAUGAAGUAUUGUGGCCAGACCCAGGCCGUAGAAGAUAUGUAGCGUAGCUUAGCUUAGCCCUCCAAUUCCUGGACUGACCCCCUGGGACGCCACACACACAAUUGUGUUCUUUACUGUAUUCUAAAGAAUAUACUUUUGGUUUACAUAUGUUUAUGGUGUUGUUGUAUGCUGC
Molecule: long non-coding RNA, 741 nt
Organism: Oncorhynchus tshawytscha (Chinook salmon)
Lineage: Eukaryota; Metazoa; Chordata; Actinopteri; Salmoniformes; Salmonidae
Source: Ensembl